CGCUAACUAGCUAGCUUUGAACAGCAACCCUAACAUCCCCUUAUUAAUAACCCCCUAAACAUCUAAACACCUAGUAAACAAAUCAUUUUACCCCCCAAGUACGAGCGACGGAAAGGGGGCCCCAACAAAAAGCAAUAGAAAAAGUACCGCAAGGGAACGCUGAAAAAGAAAUGAAAUAAAUCAGUUAAGCCUUGAAAAGCAGAGAAACCAUCUCGUACCUUUUGCAUCAUGUUUUAGCCAGUAACCCCCAAGCAAAGCGCACUUUAGUUUGGGCCCCCGAACCUAAGCGAGCUACUCCAAGACAGCCUAUCUAUAGGGCAAACCCGUCUCUGUGGCAAAAGAGUGGGAAGAUCUUUGAGUAGGGGUGACAGACCUAUCGAGCUUAGUUAUAGCUGGUUGCCUAGGACCUGAAUAGGAGUUCAGCCCCUUGGCUUCUUUAUUCCUCCCGUUAAGAUUUACUCUUAACUUACAACUUCCCCGCCACCUCAGAUGUUAAAGAAACCAAGGGAGUUACUCGAAGGGGGUACAGCCCCUUUGAGACAAGAUACAACUUUCUUAAAAGGUUAAAGAUCACACCUUAUCACAAGGCUAAAUGUUCGAGUGGGCCUAAGAGCAGCCACCUCCCAGAAAGCGUUAAAGCUCAGACAUUCUUCCUACCUAUAAUUCCGCCAGAAAAAUCUUAUACCUUUGAUUUUACUAGGCCUUCCCAUGUUUCCCAUGAGGAUGACCCUGCUAAUAUGAGUAAUAAGAAAGGCUUACGCCUUCCUCCCCGCACAAGUGUACAUCGGAACGAACCAAGCUCCGAACCUUAACGAACCCAACCAAAGAGGGCACUGAAAACCCAUAAGAGAAGCCAGAAGACUAUUCAAUAUAACCCAUGACUUUCGUUAACCCCACACUGGUGUGCAUACUUGGAAAGACUAAAAGAAAGAGAAGGAACUCGGCAAACAAAUGAAGCCUCGCCUGUUUACCAAAAACAUCGCCUCUUGCAAACAACGAAUAAGAGGUCCCGCCUGCCCCCUGACUAUAUGUUCAACGGCCGCGGUAUUUUGACCGUGCGAAGGUAGCGCAAUCACUUGUCCUUUAAAUGGAGACCUGUAUGAAUGGCAUAACGAGGGCUUUACUGUCUCCUUUUUCCAGUCAAUGAAAUUGAACUCCCCGUGCAGAAGCGGAGAUCUAUACAUAAGACGAGAAGACCCUAUGGAGCUUUAGACUAAGUGGGCAGACUACGUAAAGCACCCUUGAAGAAAAGACUAAACUGUAUGAACACUGUCCCAAUGUCUUUGGUUGGGGCGACCCUGGGGAACAAAAAUCCCCCAUGAAGACAGGGAGAACACCAAUUAUCCUCCUGCAACUAAGAACUACAAUUCUAAUUAACAGAACUAUCUGACUUUAUAAGAUCCGGCGCACGCCGAUUAACGGACCGAGUUACCCUAGGGAUAACAGCGCAAUCCUCUUUCAGAGUUCCUAUCGACAAGAGGGUUUACGACCUCGAUGUUGGAUCAGGACAUCCUAAUGGUGCAGCCGCUAUUAAGGGUUCGUUUGUUCAACGAUUAAUAGUCCUACGUGAUCUGAGUUCAGACCGGAGUAAUCCAGGUCAGUUUCUAUCUAUGAAGUGUUCUUCUCUAGUACGAAAGGACCGACGAAGGAGAGGUUUCUACUUAAGGUACACCUCGACCCUACCUACUGAACUCAACUAAAGCAGGCAAAGGGAUUCACUUCUACGCCCCAAAAGAACGGUGU
RNAcentral lists this ribosomal RNA (1743 nucleotides) under Gerres decacanthus (small Chinese silver-biddy). Its description in RNAcentral is "16S ribosomal RNA". It matches the Rfam family "Bacterial large subunit ribosomal RNA". Lineage: Eukaryota; Metazoa; Chordata; Actinopteri; Gerreiformes; Gerreidae. The record is from RNAcentral.